CAAGUACUCCCUCCGUCCGGAAUUACUUGUCAUCAAAAUGGAUGUGUCUAGAACUAAAAUACAUCUAGAUACAUCCAUUUCAAUGACAAGUAUUUUUGGAUGGGGUGAGUACAAG
Triticum aestivum (bread wheat) is the source of this 115-nucleotide non-coding RNA. The record is from Rfam. Lineage: Eukaryota; Viridiplantae; Streptophyta; Magnoliopsida; Poales; Poaceae.